GUGAGGAAUAUUGGUCAAUGGGCGGGAGCCUGAACCAGCCAAGUCGCGUGAAGGAAGAAGGAUCUAUGGUUCGUAAACUUCUUUUGCAGGGGAAUAAAGUGCAGGACGUGUCCUGUUUUGUAUGUACCCUGAGAAUAAGGAUCGGCUAACUCCGUGCCAGCAGCCGCGGUAAUACGGAGGAUCCGAGCGUUAUCCGGAUGUAUUGGGUUUAAAGGGUGCGUAGGUGGUUUGAUAAGUCAGCGGUGAAAGUUUGCAGCUUAACUGUAAAAAUGCCGUUGAAACUGUCGGACUUGAGUGUAAAGGAGGUAGGCGGAAUGCGUGGUGUAGCGGUGAAAUGCAUAGAUAUCACGCAGAACUCCGAUUGCGAAGGCAGCUUACUAAGCUACAACUGACACUGAAGCACGAAAGCGUGGGGAUCAAACAGGAUUAGAAACCCUUGUAGUCC
Molecule: ribosomal RNA, 445 nt
Filed under: uncultured bacterium
Lineage: Bacteria
Description: partial 16S ribosomal RNA
Rfam family: Bacterial small subunit ribosomal RNA
Source: RNAcentral